CAGCCGCCGCGGGAAUACGGAGGGUGCAAGCGUUAAUCGGAAUUACUAGGCGUAAAGCGCACGCAGGCGGUCUGACAAGUCAGAUGUGAAAUCCCCGGGCUUAACCUGGGAACUGCAUUUGAAACUGUCAGGCUGGAGUCUUGUAGAGGGGGGUGGAAUUCCAGGUGUAGCGGUGAAAUGCGUAGAGAUCUGGAGGAAUACCGGUGGCGAAGGCGGCCCCCUGGACAAAGACUGACGCUCAGGUGCGAAAGCGUGGGGAGCAAACAGGAUUAGAUACCCGUGUAGUCCCUGUCUCUUAUAC
This 301-nucleotide ribosomal RNA is filed under the name uncultured bacterium. RNAcentral describes it as "partial 16S ribosomal RNA". It matches the Rfam family "Bacterial small subunit ribosomal RNA", at positions 509 to 807 of the family's 1533-position model. The record is from RNAcentral.